AUUCCAGCUCCAAUAGCGUAUAUUAAAGUUGUUGCGGUUAAAAAGCUCGUAGUUGGAUUUCUGCCGAGGACGACCGGUCCGCCCUCUGGGUGAGUAUCUGGCUCGGCCUGGGCAUCUUCUUGGAGAACGUAGCUGCACUUGACUGUGUGGUGCGGUAUCCAGGACUUUUACUUUGAGGAAAUUAGAGUGUUUCAAGCAGGCACACGCCCUGAAUACAUUAGCAUGGAAUAAUAAGAUAGGACCUCGGUUCUAUUUUGUUGGUUUUGAGAACCAGAGUAAUGAUUAAUAGGGAUAGUUGGGGGCAUUCAUAUCUCAUUGUCAGAGGUGAAAUUCUUGGAUUUAUGAAAGAUGAACUUCUGCGAAAGCAUUUGCCAAGGAUGUUUUCAUCG
RNAcentral lists this ribosomal RNA (389 nucleotides) under Peridiniales sp. RNAcentral describes it as "partial small subunit ribosomal RNA". It matches the Rfam family "Eukaryotic small subunit ribosomal RNA", at positions 582 to 975 of the family's 1831-position model. The record is from RNAcentral. Lineage: Eukaryota; Dinophyceae; Peridiniales.